RNAcentral lists this long non-coding RNA (249 nucleotides) under Medicago truncatula (barrel medic). RNAcentral's name for it is "lncRNA gene40738". The record is from RNAcentral. Lineage: Eukaryota; Viridiplantae; Streptophyta; Magnoliopsida; Fabales; Fabaceae.
UUAUAUACUCAUUUAUUAUACCCAUUGACUUGAUUCAAACAAAAAAACUUAUGGACACAAAGUUUUUUUUACAAAUACACUCUUUUCACAUUACCACUAGCAGACACAAACUUCAUAUUUAUAAAAUUGAUAUUUCUAAACUUGAUAUAUAGGUACAGAAAAUGAAAAACUAGAAAAAUCACAAAAAAUAACUAGUGUGAUUUCCAAGGUGAACACUUCAAAUUUUUGCAAGAUUGUGUCCAGGUACUA